UAAGGAAUAUUGCUCAAUGGGAGAAAUCCUGAAGCAGCAACGCCGCGUGGAGGAUGAAGGGUCUAUGACUUGUAAACUCCUGUAAAGAAGGAAAAAAUUCCCAUUUGAUGGGAGAUGAUGGUACUUCUGGAGUAAGCCCCGGCUAACUACGUGCCAGCAGCCGCGGUAAUACGUAGGGGGCAAGCGUUGUCCGGAUUUACUGGGCGUAAAGGAUGCGUAGGCGGAUACUUAAGUCAGAUGUGAAAAUCCCGGGCUUAACUUGGGAACUGCAUUUGAAACUGGGUAUCUAGAGUGCGGGAGAGGAAAGUGGAAUUCCUAGUGUAGCGGUUAAAUGCGUAGAGAUUAGGAAGAACACCGGUGGCGAAGGCGACUUUCUGGACCGUAACUGACGCUGAGGCAUGAAAGCGUGGGGAGCAAACA
This 420-nucleotide ribosomal RNA is filed under the name uncultured bacterium. RNAcentral describes it as "bacterial SSU rRNA". It matches the Rfam family "Bacterial small subunit ribosomal RNA", at positions 355 to 774 of the family's 1533-position model. The record is from RNAcentral.